Brassica oleracea var. oleracea is the source of this 725-nucleotide long non-coding RNA. RefSeq lists it as uncharacterized. The transcript has 4 exons. NCBI's taxonomy places the organism in Eukaryota, Viridiplantae, Streptophyta, Magnoliopsida, Brassicales, Brassicaceae. The record is from RefSeq and is a predicted model, not a curated record.
GGUUUUUUUGUCGUUUCAGUUAGGGUUUACCCCUUUUCCUUCUUCUUCACCUCUCUAGAACACAGAUGUCGAUUAGGUCUUCGAAAUCAAUCUUCCAUCUUCUUUCUCAAAGUAAUGCAACGUUACGUGUUAUCGGGUUAUCACCUUAAAACCCUCCAUUACUCUCUCACACAUGAUCUACACUCAAUGCGAUUUCUAGAUCUGCAAGGCGGUGGAGGUUCAUCUAUAAAAAAAGACUGGCCACUCCUCCUCCACUGUUCAAGUCCGUUUGUUACGUUUUUGGGAGUCUAGGACUGUCCACCAUGGUGGAGAGCGCAUGGAAGUGGAUAUGCUCCUACUGGACUCUCAGGCUGUUGACAACUUCAUGGUCUAUGAACUGAUGGAACCCGAAAUGAGUGGGGUUAAUGCAAUCAAAAUCAAAAGCUUGGAGCCAAUGGUAUCAUUGAUGCGUGCAAACCUGGGGCCAUUGUCAAUGGCAUUCGUCUCUACAAAGCGAAGAUAGAAGAGCAACAGGUAAACAUAGAUUAGACGAUGGGAGAGAUAGAAAAACAAUAAUAAAUAUUACUGAUUAUAUUUUUUUACAUUUUUCAUGGUAAGAUAAUUUUGUAAAUUUUAACACGAAAGGAAAAUAGCUCUGAAUAAAUCUUCAACUUUCUGUCUUCUUACGUACUCCAACAGUUAAUGUAUUUUCAGUGAUGUGGUACAAUAACAUGUUUAUACGUUUC